Molecule: ribosomal RNA, 596 nt
Filed under: uncultured fungus
Lineage: Eukaryota; Fungi
Description: SSU rRNA
Rfam family: Eukaryotic small subunit ribosomal RNA
Source: RNAcentral
UGGUUCAUUCAAAUUUCUGCCCUAUCAACUUUCGAUGGUAGGAUAGUGGCUACCAUGGUUUCAACGGGUAACGGGGAAUUAGGGUUCUAUUCCGGAGAGGGAGCCUGAGAAACGGCUACCACAUCCAAGGAAGGCAGCAGGCGCGCAAAUUACCCAAUCCCGACACGGGGAGGUAGUGACAAUAAAUACUGAUACAGGGCUCUUUUGGGUCUUGUAAUUGGAAUGAGUACAAUUUAAAUCCCUUAACGAGGAACAAUUGGAGGGCAAGUCUGGUGCCAGCAGCCGCGGUAAUUCCAGCUCCAAUAGCGUAUAUUAAAGUUGUUGCAGUUAAAAAGCUCGUAGUUGAACCUUGGGCCUGGCUUGGCCGGUCCGCCUCCACCGCGUGGCACUGGUCCGGCCGGGCCCUUUCCUUCUGGGGAGCCGCAUGCCCUUCACUGGGUGUGUCGGGGAACCAGGAAUUUUACUUUGAAAAAAUUAGAGUGUUCAAAGCAGGCCCUAUGCUCGAAAUACAUUAGGCAUGGGAAUAAUAGAAUAGGACGGUGUGGUUCUAUUUGUUGGGUUCUAGGACCGCCGUAAUUGAUUAAUAGGGGAUAGUC